GCGAGCGUAGUCUAGUGGUUAUGAUGUCUGCUUUACAAGGGUGUAUUCCUGUCGAACGCAGAAGGUCGGGAGUUCGAUCCUCCCCGCUCGUA
Non-coding RNA from Mytilinidion resinicola, 92 nucleotides. The record is from the annotation of a RefSeq genome assembly. Lineage: Eukaryota; Fungi; Ascomycota; Dothideomycetes; Mytilinidiales; Mytilinidiaceae.